Non-coding RNA from Cinara cedri, 228 nucleotides. The record is from the annotation of a GenBank genome assembly. Lineage: Eukaryota; Metazoa; Arthropoda; Insecta; Hemiptera; Aphididae.
UGUCGUAAUUUAUUUAUUGUGUCGUAGUGUUUUGCCGAAAGAAAAACAAAUCGCGUCGAGAUUGAUUAUAAUAUUAUUGACACCGGUGUCCGCGUGUGUCAGCCACUGAAGUCGUGUAUCGUCCUUCCCCCCUCCCCAAUGUAAUAUAAACCCAAUGUGAACGAACCAAGAUUCAAGUGUGACUGCAUGUGAGCCACCGCGUAAAAGCGUUCUCAAGUAGAUUAACAC